AGCUUUGCGCAGUGGCCGUAUCGUAGCCAAUGAGGUUUAUCCGAGGCGCGAUUAUUGCUAAUUGAAUAACCUUGCAAAGCCUUGGGUUUCUAGGCUAUAAUAGGGAUAAUCACAGUCCCUGCCUCAUGUGAAUAU
Neomonachus schauinslandi (Hawaiian monk seal) is the source of this 135-nucleotide small nuclear RNA. RefSeq annotates it as U4 spliceosomal RNA. Lineage: Eukaryota; Metazoa; Chordata; Mammalia; Carnivora; Phocidae. The transcript has a single exon. The record is from RefSeq and is a predicted model, not a curated record.